Molecule: RNA transcript, 1460 nt
Organism: Quercus robur (English oak)
Lineage: Eukaryota; Viridiplantae; Streptophyta; Magnoliopsida; Fagales; Fagaceae
Exons: 3
Source: RefSeq, a predicted model, not a curated record
UUAAAUGGUUUAUUUUGAAAAAAAAAUAAUAAUAAUAAUCCGUAUAACCCCUGAACAGAACCGAAGGCCUGAAGUUGAGAUUUCGCUUGGCUCUCAGCUCGCUGUUGGCCGCCACUUCCCUACAAGUAAUCUGCCGUCUCCUACAACUUCCAGCAACAAUUUUUUGUAACAAGAUCACAUUCCUAGAGACGUGGUAAUAAGAUGGCUCGCAAUGAGGAGAAAGCACAGUCUAUGCUGAACAGAUACGUUGCCCACGAAGCUGAACAGAAAAAGAAGCCAAAAGAGCGUCGGCCCUUCCUUGCCUCUGAAUGUCGUGACCUUGCUGAGGCUGACAAGUGGCGCCAGCAGAUCAUGCGUGAGAUUGGCCGCAAAGUUGCUGAAAUUCAAAAUGAAGGGCUUGGAGAGCAUCGCCUCCGUGACCUCAAUGACGAGAUCAAUAAACUCAUCCGGGAAAAAUCCCAUUGGGAACGGCGCAUUGUUGAGCUCGGUGGGCCCAAUUAUGCCAAACAUGCCCCUAAAAUGACUGAUUUAGAAGGAAACAUAGUGGAUGUUCCUAAUCCUAGUGGGCGUGGGCCAGGAUACCGGUACUUUGGUGCUGCAAAGAAGUUGCCGGGAGUGAGAGAGCUGUUUGAGAAGCCUCCAGAAUUACGAAAAAGGAGGACUCGAUAUGAUAUAUAUAAGAGGAUUGAUGCGAGUUAUUAUGGGUAUAGGGAUGAAGAGGAUGGGGUGUUGGAGAGGGUGGAGGGGCCUGCGGAGGAGAAGAUGAGGGCAGAGGUGUUGGAGGAGUGGAAUAGAGUGGAGGAGGUGAGGAGGGAGGCAAAGAAGGCAGUUAAGAGUGGGGAGGUGGUGAGCAUGGUGAAGGAGGUGUUGUUUGAGGGGAUGGAGGAGGAAGUGGAGGAGGAGGAGAGGAAGGAAAGGGAGAAACUGGAGAAGGAGGAGAUGGAAAGGGAGGGGAGGAGGGAGUUUGUGGUUCAUGUGCCAUUGCCGGAUGACAAGGAAAUAGAGAGGAUGGUUUUGGAGAAAAAGAAGAGGGAGUUGUUGAGUAAGUAUGUGAGUGAGGGUUUGUUGGAGGAACAGACUGAGGCUAAGGCUAUGCUUAAUAUUCAGCGGUAGAUGUGUAUGACUUGGAAACUUUUUGCUUCUAGAAUUAGAGUGGAGGAAAACUGUUCAGUCUCUAGUUAGCCUUUAAAUUCUUCUGAACUCUGAAGAUCUUUCUAAAGACCUACCCCUACAUGAUGGCCUGGUGGCACCACAGCCUCAGCACAAGCUUGAUCCUGAUCGUGGUUUCACCUAUUUACUUAUAUUGCCACAAAUGCUAUCUUACAUAUCAAAAGAAAAAUUGCAUAGUUGAUGGUAAAUACUGCACUCCACAGAUUUGUUGGAGGGUUUAGCUUACAUGCACUACUUUUUUAACUGAACAUAUCAUUUUGUUUUAAAUAUAUAAUAGCAAGUGAUAAUGA